This 254-nucleotide ribosomal RNA is filed under the name uncultured bacterium. RNAcentral describes it as "partial 16S ribosomal RNA". It matches the Rfam family "Bacterial small subunit ribosomal RNA", at positions 524 to 776 of the family's 1533-position model. The record is from RNAcentral.
UACGGGGGGAGCAAGCGUUGUUCGGAUUUACUGGGCGUAAAGGGCGCGUAGGCGGUCGUGACAAGUCACUUGUGAAAUCUCCGGGCUUAACUCGGAACGGUCAAGUGAUACUGUCGGACUAGAGUACAGAAGGGGCAACUAGAAUUCUCGGUGUAGCGGUGAAAUGCGUAGAUAUCAGGAGGAACACCGAUGGCGAAGGCAGGUCUCUGGGCUGACACUGACGCUCAUGCACGAAAGCUAGGGGAGCAAACAGG